GCGGGUAUGGCCCAACGGCAGAGGCAUCCGGUUUAAGCCCGGUUCAGUGUGAGUUCGAAUCUCACUCUCCGUA
Molecule: transfer RNA, 73 nt
Filed under: Enterococcus phage EFGrNG
Lineage: Duplodnaviria; Heunggongvirae; Uroviricota; Caudoviricetes; Herelleviridae
Rfam family: tRNA
About the family: Transfer RNA (tRNA) molecules are approximately 80 nucleotides in length. Their secondary structure includes four short double-helical elements and three loops (D, anti-codon, and T loops).
Source: Rfam by way of RNAcentral